UGAGCUCUCCCACUCUGACUGCUGCUCUCCAUCACAGGGACGAAUAAAUCUCAGUGACCUGAGCGACUGAACUGCAGCUCUGUGAGUUACAGCUUCUGCUCUGCUCGUCUCUGCGUACAGCCCGGUUCCACUUCAGUCCGGGUCAGAGGUCACGUGUGAUCGUUUCCUGCCUUCAAAACAACUGUCAGAACAGCGUGACGCUCUUUACUUUGACCGCUGUCACACUGCAGGUUUCCAAAGUAUCAGUCUCUGAGGUGAAAUGAGUUUAUGACUGCAGAUCAUUAUGUCGCUUGUUCCCCGAGGAGCAGCGUUUCUCUCGCCGGUGGGCCGUGUGGGGGAGCUGCGCCCGGGGGCCCUCCUCCACUGUGGGGCUGGUGAUGGAGAAGGUGGAGGCUGUGGAGCACAAGAGGAGGAGGAGGAUUCAGUCGAGCCACUCGAGCUGCUUCAGAGAGACGUCCUCCAAAACAUCUGGAGCAUCGUCCUCGUCUCCUAACUGUGCAGCAGCGUCGCGGUCAGAACAGGAGGCGGAUCGAUACGUUAUUUCCACGGUUGACAGCGAUAUUCAGUAAAAUGUAAAUGCUGUUAAUGUCUCAACAACUGUCCGCUGAAUCCUUGAGAAGCUUUCAAUAAACAAAAGAUAGAAACACA
Acanthopagrus latus (yellowfin seabream) is the source of this 648-nucleotide long non-coding RNA. RefSeq lists it as uncharacterized. Lineage: Eukaryota; Metazoa; Chordata; Actinopteri; Spariformes; Sparidae. The record is from RefSeq and is a predicted model, not a curated record. The transcript has 3 exons.